RNAcentral lists this ribosomal RNA (86 nucleotides) under Billgrantia gudaonensis. The record is from RNAcentral. Lineage: Bacteria; Pseudomonadati; Pseudomonadota; Gammaproteobacteria; Oceanospirillales; Halomonadaceae.
GAUCCCAUGCCGAACUCAGCAGUGAAACCGCUCAGCGCCGAUGGUAGUGUGGGGUCUCCCCAUGCGAGAGUAGGUCAUCGUCAGGC